Papaver somniferum (opium poppy) is the source of this 1555-nucleotide long non-coding RNA. RefSeq lists it as uncharacterized. The transcript is spliced from 4 exons. The record is from RefSeq and is a predicted model, not a curated record. Lineage: Eukaryota; Viridiplantae; Streptophyta; Magnoliopsida; Ranunculales; Papaveraceae.
CUAUAAUCUACCAUUCUCUCUUCAGUUCUUAUCUUGUUCACAGACCAAGAUCCCCUUCUUCUUCCACAGAUAAUAUCUCUUUCGUCGUUUUUCAUCAUCACAAUCCCUAAAUCAUAAAGCCUUUUGUUUUAUCAACAGUUCAAUAUUGACAAAGUCUAUUAUUAUUUUUUUCUCCUCAAAUUCAACAAAGCCUCGAAGAACCCUAGAAUAGAAAUCCAGUUUUUCUCAAUAAUUAAGUUCAAAAUCUAAGUCAGAAAUUGAAGACAAACCUUCAUUAAAUCUAUUCCAGAAGUUCACUGUCACAAAUCAUAACUUCAUUAAAACCCCUAUCUCAAAUCAGGACGCAUGUAUUAACAAAAAUCAAACAUUGUAACCCUGGAUCUAGUCUUUUCGCUCCUGAAAUCAUCAGAUAAGGUGUUUCCUUUUCUAUUUUCACCUAUAACUUCUCCGAAUGAAGAUAGGGGUCUUUAUGGAUUCAAAGUCUUAAAAUCUGAAGGGUUUUCAUUGCUUCGUUGAUGAAGCUAUCGAAAGGUACGUAUUAGGUAUGCUCUGUAGUGGAUUCAACAGAACUUUGUUGGAAUACUCAUCCCGAUAGAGAAUAUGUGGAGGAGGCUAAUAAGGCGACUAUUAGAAUUCAUGAAUAUCUACAUGUGAGGAGACCGUUGUCUAUUCAGUUAUGGUGUUUUGAGUUUUUGUUUGUUCUGCAUUCAAUUCAUUGUUGUUCACGGGUCUAUUUAGGUAAGUAUACAAUUUGCAUGUGUAUUGUCAAUUAUGGAGGAGGAUCCUAUAAGUAAACAAUGACAGACUCUUUUCUUCUUUUUCUACGUGUUCGUUCAAAAUAAAUAUAUAUAGUUAGGCGUUGAUGAUGUAUGAUGUGCAAGGACAAUAACAAUCAAGCUUUUUAUGCUGGAUUUUCCUUACAGUUUCUGAAUAAAAAUCACUGCCUUUACAAUGCAGUAUUAAAGGCCAAGGGUUUAGUGAGAUGUGUAUUAUCAAGCGUUUAGUGAGAUGAUUUCAAAGUUGAGAAGGAAUGGAAGAUUCAUGGGACUCUUAAAACUAGCCAAGAAAAUGGUGUUGUUGUUGUUGAUUCAUUGGGUUGAAUAGUUAUGGUUUAUAGAUGUCCAAAAUUGUUGGGUUUGUAUCCAAACUCGAAUUUGCAGGUGGAGAAGCUGUGAGAGGAGCUCAAACCAAUCAGGGAAAACUGCAUAGCUACUGUUCGUCGAAAUUCCUGAAAGAAGAGGACAUUUCUUAGUAUGAAUUUCAUGUUCAUUUAUUCGAGCAUUCUGUUGUAGUUUGAGAUUUGGCUAAUUAUAAUUUGUGACCAUUCAACCAAUUUGGAACUGACACAAGGUGGGAUAUCAUUUCUACUUAAAAAUGAUAUGACUUAGGUGUUGAUUAUGCUAAUCAAAAGCGCUCAUCUUUAGCCCUAACCCAAUAGUAUAUGUCACAUUUUAAAAUUGGUUGGUUACAAGAUUUGUAUGACCUGAUCUUGGAUUGUUCUAUGCUAAUUAAAUGCACUUGUUUUUCAUUAAUUAUGGACCUGAUGCUUCCAUUU